GUCCCCAUAGCUCAACGGAUAGAGCUCCUGCCUUCUAAGCAGGCAAUACAGGUUCGAUUCCUGUUGGGGACA
This 72-nucleotide transfer RNA is filed under the name Elusimicrobia bacterium CG1_02_56_21. RNAcentral describes it as "tRNA-Arg". It matches the Rfam family "tRNA". From Rfam's summary of the family: Transfer RNA (tRNA) molecules are approximately 80 nucleotides in length. Their secondary structure includes four short double-helical elements and three loops (D, anti-codon, and T loops). RNAcentral also lists the same sequence under 1 other name. The record is from RNAcentral. Lineage: Bacteria; Pseudomonadati; Elusimicrobiota.